AGAUUAGAUAAAUUGAUCCAGUUAUCCUCCCUGAGCUUGGCCUGGAUCCUUCUCGGAAUUGCUCACAAUCACUUAUCUCCGACAUCUUGCAAAAGUGUGAUGUUAUGUUUAGAGUUCUUUUUUUUUGUCUUACAAAAACAACAAAGUGAUAUUCUUGGCUCUUGUUAAGUACAGUCAAAUCUCAUUAAUCCGACACUCGUUAAUCCAACAAACAGCUUUAUCCGACACUAAUGAUAGGAACCGAUUUAAUCAAUGCUAUUUAGCCCCUCAAUCCGACAGUCUCGCACUCUGACUCCAACACCUAAUUUGCAACGAAUUACUGAAAUCACUCAUUAAAAGUCUCGUUAAUCCGACACAGUGAUCAGCGUCACCGAUCCAGGAAAUAUGACCUACUUCUAGCACAAAUUUGUUAGCAACUGUGAGCUGUUACUAGUAGGUACAAAGACGGUCACUUCGUCUCUGGAGACUAACAUUUACUGCUACUACUAGCUAACGGCAAAGGAGCAUGUCUUUGAUUUUCAUUGGUCAACGAGUCUACAUAGACGAUAUGCAAGCCGGGCUGUCUCAACAGAAAAAUGAAAAGAUUACCGCAGAGCAACUUCAGCCUGUAACCAGCUAUCUUUCUAGAUGUAGAAGUAGCACUUGAAAUAUACUGUGGUUGUUAAAUAAUUACAAAUAGAAUCUACAUUAUCAUGAAGAAAAUUAUACGGUAACCAUUGAUCAUUACAUCACCAGCUGGUCACAUGACCUCGUCAUGCAUCAUCAUCCACCACCAUUUUGUGUAAGGUCACGUCAUCUGUUCCACUCAACUUAGGCCUAGUUUAGGCUAGUUAGUUCUCUAAAUAGAGCACAACAAACCAGUAUGCAUCUGAGGCAGAAAAUUUAUUCAAGCUCUGAAGUCCCAAACAACUGAAAAUGCUCCAAAACACCAUCACGUGACCCUGUAGCAGACACUACAUCUGUCUAUGAGCAAUGGACAGAACUGAGAAUACCUUAUCAUGAACAGUAGUGUGCACUGCUGGCAACAUCCUGUUUUUUUGGCACACAAUAGCAUCCCUCCUGAUCAAGUGAAAAGGAAUCCUAUGACACCGCUUGAUCUUUGUCUGACAUGGAAAUCUGCAAAUCAAAUAAGAUAUCCGCUUUAAUGAAGUCAUGAACUGGACGCUGCGCUCUUGAUUCCAGCACUAAUAUUGUCAUGACCAAAUGUUAAUAAUUUUCAUAUUCAGCAAGUUGAAGAUGACUGACACCAUCUUUAAGUUUCACAAAUAUGUUAUUCAGAAGUUUUUUGUUUUCACUACUGAUUUAUAUAUAGUAUUAAAAAAUGGAUUUCUGCAAUAGAAUAAAGUAUUGAAAUACA
Molecule: long non-coding RNA, 1357 nt
Organism: Haliotis rufescens (red abalone)
Lineage: Eukaryota; Metazoa; Mollusca; Gastropoda; Lepetellida; Haliotidae
Exons: 5
Source: RefSeq, a predicted model, not a curated record